AACGAACGCUGGCGGCAGGCCUAACACAUGCAAGUCGAACGAUAACUGCGAGUCGCGUGCCUCACUGGUGCGUAGCGCGUGAGGGCCUGCCCUUGGGUUGGGAAUAGCUCAGCGGAGGGGGUUCUCAUACCGAAUGAUAACUUCAUACCAAAGAUGUAUCGCCGUUGGAUGGGCCCGCGUUGGGUGAGCUUGUUGGUUGGGUAAAAGGCUACCAAGGCGACGAGUUGUAGAGGGGAUGAGAGGAUGAGCACACACACUGGGACUGGGCCACGGCGCAGACUAUUAGGGGAAGCAGCAGUGGGGAAUAUUGCAAAAUGGGGGAAAGGCUGAUGCAGUAAGGACGGGUGAGUGAUGAAGGUCUUAGGGUAGUAAAGUUAUUUUAUACGGGAUGAUAAUGACGGUACCGGGAGAAUAAGCACCGGCUAACUUCGUG
RNAcentral lists this ribosomal RNA (433 nucleotides) under uncultured bacterium. Its description in RNAcentral is "partial 16S ribosomal RNA". It matches the Rfam family "Bacterial small subunit ribosomal RNA", at positions 29 to 507 of the family's 1533-position model. The record is from RNAcentral.